UGGGGAAUUUUGCACAAUGGGCGCAAGCCUGAUGCAGCGACGCCGCGUGAGGGAUGAAGGCCUUCGGGUUGUAAACCUUUUUCGCUCAUGGUCAAGCCGCAGCUUUGGGUUGUGGUGAGGGUAGUGGGUAAAGAAGCGCCGGCUAACUACGUGCCAGCAGCCGCGGUAAUACGUAGGGCGCGAGCGUUGUCCGGAAUUAUUGGGCGUAAAGGGCUUGUAGGUGGCGUGUCGCGUCUGCUGUGAAAUUCCAGGGCUUAACUUUGGGAUUGCAGUGGGUACGGGCAUGCUAGAGUGCAGUAGGGGAGAUUGGAAUUCCUGGUGUAGCGGUGAAAUGCGCAGAUAUCAGGAGGAACACCGGUGGCGAAGGCGGGUCUCUGGGCUGUUACUGACGCUGAGGAGCGAAAGCGUGGGGAGCGAACAGG
RNAcentral lists this ribosomal RNA (422 nucleotides) under Verrucomicrobiota bacterium. Its description in RNAcentral is "Verrucomicrobia bacterium partial 16S ribosomal RNA". It matches the Rfam family "Bacterial small subunit ribosomal RNA", at positions 355 to 776 of the family's 1533-position model. Lineage: Bacteria; Pseudomonadati; Verrucomicrobiota. The record is from RNAcentral.